This 433-nucleotide ribosomal RNA is filed under the name uncultured bacterium. RNAcentral describes it as "partial 16S ribosomal RNA". It matches the Rfam family "Bacterial small subunit ribosomal RNA", at positions 29 to 507 of the family's 1533-position model. The record is from RNAcentral.
AACGAACGCUGGCGGCAUGCCUAACACAUGCCAGUCGAACGAGACCUUCGGGUCUAGUGGCGCACGGGUGCGUAACGCGUGGGAACCUGCCCUUAGGUUCGGAAUAACUCCCCGAAAGGGGUGCUAAUACCGGAUAAUGUCUUCGGACCAAAGAUUUAUCGCCUUUGGAUGGGCCCGCGUUGGAUUAGCUAGUUGGUAGGGUAAAAGCCUACCAAGGCGACGAUCCAUAGCUGGUCUGAGAGGAUGAUCAGCCACACUGGGACUGAGUCACGGCCCAGACUCCUACGGGAGGCAGCAGUGGGGAAUAUUGGACAAUGGGCGAAAGCCUGAUCCAGCAAUGCCGCGUGAGUGAUGAAGGCCUUAGGGUUGUAAAGCUCUUUUACCCGGGAUGAUAAUGACAGUACCGGGAGAAUAAGCUCCGGCUAACUCCGUG